ACUCCUACGGGAGGCAGCAGUGGGGAAUAUUGGACAAUGGGCGAAAGCCUGAUCCAGCAAUGCCGCGUGAGUGAUGAAGGCCUUAGGGUUGUAAAGCUCUUUUACCCGGGAAGAUAAUGACUGCACCGGGAGAAUAAGCCCCGGCUAACUCCGUGCCAGCAGCCGCGGUAAU
Molecule: ribosomal RNA, 172 nt
Filed under: uncultured Sphingomonas sp.
Lineage: Bacteria; Pseudomonadati; Pseudomonadota; Alphaproteobacteria; Sphingomonadales; Sphingomonadaceae
Description: partial 16S ribosomal RNA
Rfam family: Bacterial small subunit ribosomal RNA
Source: RNAcentral